This 2213-nucleotide small RNA is filed under the name Pongo abelii (Sumatran orangutan). RNAcentral's name for it is "retained intron". Lineage: Eukaryota; Metazoa; Chordata; Mammalia; Primates; Hominidae. The record is from RNAcentral.
AAGUGUAAUCCUUUUUCUUUAUGACAAUACCCUGAGUUCAGAAAUCUCAGAGACACAUGUUUACAGAGACCAGGUAAAUAAGUAGCUAGAGUGACAAGACUUAAGAAAAGAGACCAUUGGCGUACCACCAGUUUGUGGAGGGAACUGGACAAACUGGAAUACCCAUGCCCCAUCCAAAAGCAACCAUUGCAACUAAACUUUAACAGAUUGUUGCCACCUAAGUAAUUCACGGAUAGUCUCAUAGUUCUGGUCAGCAUUGUCUGAGCCAAACAAAACGUAUCUAUGGGCAUGAUCAGAUACUAGAGCCAGCAGAUUGCAACCUCUGCUUAGAUAAUUGCAGGUAUCAGCCUUCCCUUGGCUAAACAGCCACUUCAUACUGAUAAGUAGCCCUUUGCCUGGCACAAAGCAGGUGGGGCCGAAUCCAGCCUGAUAUCACAUCACCAGAACUUUCUCUAAUUCUCCUCAAGGCAUCUGUAAACUACCAGCAGCCCAAAUAAGCAUCCUUUUCUCCUUCAGUCAUUUCUCAUAAAGCAGAUUCUACUCAUCUCACCAUCCAUCUUUUUUCCCCUAACAUAUCAGAAUUCAUCAAAGUAGAAACUCUAGAAAUCAUCCAGAAAUACAAAUGUGAUCUGACCAGCACAGGUAUAAACUUUCUCUUUCCUUAAUUUAGAAAAAGGAUUAUUAAUUUUGAGUCUUCGAUCUCAUAAAAGUAGAGCUGGAUUGAUUUUAAGGGAUCAAUGAACCUACUGAAAUUGUAUAAAAAGAUUUUGUGGGGCUGGCAAACAAAUGCUUUUCUUUUAACGUAUUCUUAAAAGAAUAAAACCUCAAAGAAGAUUUAACAACCACUAUAGACUUAAGUUUCAAUUAAUGUAGUCUGUAGCAUUAGCUUUUGGAAGGUUGUUCUAUCAGAAUAUGGACCAAUACUGAGCUUAGUCUCUGCUAAAACUCUGUCUUUUUAUUCGUAUCUUCUGCUAAAAAGCUCCAUAACCCGUGCAGAAUACUGGUAUAAUUACCCACACCUUACCCACCCAGUGAUUGUUGAUGUAACUAUUUAAUCCAAGUCUGAGGCCUAAAUUAUUUUUAAUCAAGAGUUACAUGUUUUAAUUUUUUGUAAUUUUAAUAUCUAACACUUAUUCUAUUUCAUUUUAUUCGAUUGAUGCUGAAAUGUAUAAUGCUAUGAUUCUAAGACUUAGGAAAAAUAAUACUAUACUGGGAUUUGGAGUUUAUAUAUAUUUACAUGAACUUUUUUUUCUUCUCUGUAGGUCGAAAAUUUAAAAAGUUCAAUAAAGUCAGAGUUGUGAGAGCACUGGAUGCUGUUGCUCUCCCACAGCCAGUGGGCAUUCCAAAUGAAAGCCAAGCCCUAAGCCAGAGAUUCACUUUUUCACCAGGUCAAGACAUACAGUUGAUUCCACCACUGAUCAACCUGUUAAUGAGCAUUGAACCAGAUGUGAUCUAUGCAGGACAUGACAACACAAAACCUGACACCUCCAGUUCUUUGCUGACAAGUCUUAAUCAACUAGGCGAGAGGCAACUUCUUUCAGUAGUCAAGUGGUCUAAAUCAUUGCCAGGUUUUCGAAACUUACAUAUUGAUGACCAGAUAACUCUCAUUCAGUAUUCUUGGAUGAGCUUAAUGGUGUUUGGUCUAGGAUGGAGAUCCUACAAACACGUCAGUGGGCAGAUGCUGUAUUUUGCACCUGAUCUAAUACUAAAUGAACAGCGGAUGAAAGAAUCAUCAUUCUAUUCAUUAUGCCUUACCAUGUGGCAGAUCCCACAGGAGUUUGUCAAGCUUCAAGUUAGCCAAGAAGAGUUCCUCUGUAUGAAAGUAUUGUUACUUCUUAAUACAAUUCCUUUGGAAGGGCUACGAAGUCAAACCCAGUUUGAGGAGAUGAGGUCAAGCUACAUUAGAGAGCUCAUCAAGGCAAUUGGUUUGAGGCAAAAAGGAGUUGUGUCGAGCUCACAGCGUUUCUAUCAACUUACGAAACUUCUUGAUAACUUGCAUGAUCUUGUCAAACAACUUCAUCUGUACUGCUUGAAUACAUUUAUCCAGUCCCGGGCACUGAGUGUUGAAUUUCCAGAAAUGAUGUCUGAAGUUAUUGCUGCACAAUUACCCAAGAUAUUGGCAGGGAUGGUGAAACCCCUUCUCUUUCAUAAAAAGUGAAUGUCAUCUUUUUCUUUUAAAUAAUUAAAUUUUGUGGUAUGUCUUUUUGUUUCGG